Molecule: unclassified non-coding RNA, 258 nt
Filed under: Hevea brasiliensis (rubber tree)
Lineage: Eukaryota; Viridiplantae; Streptophyta; Magnoliopsida; Malpighiales; Euphorbiaceae
Source: RNAcentral
AUUAUUUAGGAUAAUGUCAUAGCUAAUUAUUGUUUUAGGGUUAUACUAUAUGAGCAUGGUACAGCCAUAACACUGGGUGGUUUUAUGUUUUCUUAAUUUGAUGGAUGCGAGUAACAGUAUCAUUGCUGACCUUCCUGUAUUCUUCUCCAAGGGAAUGGUGGACCUGUGUAUUUCACUUGAACUCAAUUUCUACUUGGGUUUAAAUGUCUAUCAAAUAGUGACAUCGUUUCUAAAGGUUAUAUCUGAUUAGCACUGGGG